Thrips palmi is the source of this 64-nucleotide non-coding RNA. NCBI's taxonomy places the organism in Eukaryota, Metazoa, Arthropoda, Insecta, Thysanoptera, Thripidae. The record is from the annotation of a RefSeq genome assembly.
CAAAGGAUGCCUGAUAAAAGGGAUAUUUUGAUAGAAUAUAUAAUGGAAAUACUUCCUCCUUUGA